AUAAUAAUAAUUAAAUAAUUUAAAUUAAAGUAGAAAAUUAAAAAGAAAAGAAGAGAAGGCAAGGUUAUUUAUUAUUAAAUUAUGUUUACGUUUAUCAUUUAACAAUGAUUUUUUUAGGCAACAGAAUUGUUAUUUAUAAUAUAAAGUAAAAUGGAAACACAGGAAGACUUGAAGAAAGCAAAGACAAUUGAAGAAAAUAAAAAUUAAAAGGAAAAGAUAAGAAAAAAUACUAUGAGUAAAGACUAAAGAGGUACUUUUACUGCUCUCAAGAACAGUUUGAGAACAGUAAAAGUUAGCCCUCUUUUUGUAUAAUAUAAUAAUAAUAAUAAUGUUCUGAAAAUAGGCUUUUGAUUUCAAUUAAAACAUUUUUUAAGUCAUUGUAACUAUUUGCGAAGUUCCCAGUGAUAUUGUACCUUGUAACUUCAAGGACCAACCAAAUGGUGUUUCCCUUUGCUCAAUCGUAGUAAGCCAUAGAAAUUGCUUUUUCACUUAAAUGGUCGUCAAUGCACAUAUUCUUUUUCUUGGAGGUGGAUUUGUGUAGCCAAGGGGGGAGCUUCCUACUACAGAUACCUUUUGAAAUUGAUAAUUAAUUUCCAACUUGAAUGCAAAAGAGCUUUUUGGAAACAAGUUACAGAUAAUUAAUUUUUAAUAAUUCUAUUUGACAAUAUUUGACAGACUCUCAAAAGAUUAACAGCAGAGGUUAAGGUGCAUGCAUUUGAUAUCUG
This 725-nucleotide unclassified non-coding RNA is filed under the name Hevea brasiliensis (rubber tree). Lineage: Eukaryota; Viridiplantae; Streptophyta; Magnoliopsida; Malpighiales; Euphorbiaceae. The record is from RNAcentral.